RNAcentral lists this ribosomal RNA (1032 nucleotides) under Triticum aestivum (bread wheat). Its description in RNAcentral is "partial small subunit ribosomal RNA". The record is from RNAcentral. Lineage: Eukaryota; Viridiplantae; Streptophyta; Magnoliopsida; Poales; Poaceae.
AUGCCGGUGGAAGUGGAGGAGAGAGGAAUGUACCCCAGGCUAAUCGGCGGAACGAGAAAAGGGCUGUUGAGCGGGUCUUGUGUAGUUCUGUUGAUCCUGAUGAUGGUGAGGAAGUCGAGAUUGAAGUUGGAGAUGAAGGAAAUGUUCCCCAACGACGUUCAUAGGCUGGGAGGAUCAGGGCCUCAUGAGGGAGGAAGGGGCACGAUUCCAGUUGAUGCUGCUAGUGUGCACAGAAAUUUCGGUUUACCGGACAGAGGGCCACGUCUCAAAUAUGUUGCUGAAAAGGAAGCAGUGAAGGUAUUCAAUGAGAUGUCCGGGCACACCGGGCCCCCAAAGCACCCCAUGGUCACCGAAUUCUGCAAGACGAUCAAAGCAAUGAAGGGAGCAACUGAUGCCAAGUUCCUCAUCGGGUGGCUUGCACUUGCUUUCAGUACUUUUCUAGCUCCUACCACCAGUCUUUCUCCGAGUCCGCGCUGCUACGGGUAUGUGUUGGAGCCUACUUUGCUGUCGAAGAUCAAUGUGUCCUUGUUUGUUGCUGAACACAUAAAUGAAGCAUUCCGGACUUCUUUGGUCUUUCCAGGAAGGGGCACGAUUCCAAUUGAUGCUGCUAGUGUGCAUAGAAUUUUAUGUUUACCGGACAGAGGGCCACGCCUCAAAUAUGUUGUUCAAAAGGAAGCGGUGAAGGUAUUCGAUGAGAUGUUCGGGCACACUAGGCCCCCAAAGCACCCCAUGGUCACCGAAUUCUGCAAGACGAUCAAAGCAAUGAAGGGAGCAACUCAUGACAAGUUCCUCACCGGGUGGCUUGCACUUGCUCUCACUAAUUGCAUAAUUUCCAGCUUCAAGAUCGAGAUUACCUCAUUCAUGGCAGCCACACCAUCUCUUUCUGCCUCUAGUAGAGCCUCAAGAACUAUAAUAUCUGUGCUCAGACUGCUCCCCGGCGGUGUUGCCUCUGAACUGCUACCAUCUGGUAACAUGGAUGGCGCACUGCUUCCACAAAUAGAUUAUGGGGUUGCACAUUGUGUCCUAGUGUGA